Molecule: long non-coding RNA, 1784 nt
Organism: Acanthochromis polyacanthus (spiny chromis)
Lineage: Eukaryota; Metazoa; Chordata; Actinopteri; Pomacentridae
Exons: 2
Source: RefSeq, a predicted model, not a curated record
CCGACUAUCAAUAAACAUUUAGUAUAGUUCUGAUAUGUUUAUCUCGGAAUGUUCCAUCUAUUUAGAAUCAUGACAAUGAGGGGCUGAAGGUUGGUGAAAAGCCACCCAAGAUCUAUUGACCCACAUUUUGUGGAAUUAUUUGUGAAAAAUGAAUUUUGAAAUUACAGGAGGAAGAGAAAGAGGCACAGAGGGUGUACCAGCUUCACUGAGCUGAUCUGAUUGACUGCAUGAAGGGAAGCAUCUCUAUGAGGAAAACCAGAGCUCAGUACAUCAGCAUGAAGACAUAAAUGUUAUGUCAUCAGUUACAUUUCAAAAUGAAAGCUUCUAUUAAAGUCAAAUUAAAUUAGAGCAGUUUUGGUCACACUGCCGAUGUGAACAAGCACCAUCCACUAAACUGUUUGUUUUCAGGCUAUAAUAACUGGAGAUGUUCCCUCAUCAUGGGAGCUCAGGAGGGAGAGACCAACCCUUCACUUUGAAGAUGAACAACUUAACCAGGUUGUCUCAUUCUUGUUUAAAGUCAUCAAGGAAACAGCAGGAGCAAGGCAGCGAACAGACUGGGUCGCCUUCAUUUUGAUGUCCUUUUGCCAGACGUAUGACAAGAUUGUGUUGUUUGCAUGAAGUGAUUAAUGAAUGUGAAUGUCAUGUGUGUAUUAAUACAUUUAUGUGUUUAAUCCAAAUGAACUAAAGGGGAAACGCUGCAUCUGAAACUUGGAAAGUUUAAGGGAAAUUUUCAGGAAUUUUUUUUCAGAUUGAAGUUAAUAAAAUAUUACACAUAUUUUCCUUUUGUUAGUCUUCCAGUGAAAAUUAAAGGAUUUGUGAUAGUUUUUUGUUUUGUUUUUUAACUGUCCACAUUUCUUUCUUCUGGUCGAGGUGACAGAUGCAGAUCAACUGAGCGUAUCAGAGGCUUUAGAAGGUUCAGAAGUUUCCACAAUAUGAACUAUGUGAGAUGAAAAUGUUGGCAAACAUGAUGAAAAACCUGUCAGAGGAGGGAACAGUAAAGCUGAAAGCUUUUGGAAAAAAAUGAAAACAGCCCUCUGAGGCAUUCCUCCAGAGACUUUACAUUUUACAUCCUACACACACUCGUACAUCACUACUUUGUUUUACUCUAUAUUUUUAUCCAAAAAAGUUCACUUGUUUAUUUGUCUUUUGGUUGAUAGAUUUCAUUUUUCAAAUUAGAAUGCUGACAGGAGCAUGUGCCAGUGGAUGCAAUGAGCUCUGAGCCGACUUUGUUUCUCAGCAGAGCAACACAUAUUAAAAAGGUUGUUGCUAGAGGUACGGACCCGUAGCCUGUGGACUACGGAUACGGCACUUGCCAUUUGCCAAUCAGAUACGCGAGAUCUGGUCACGUGACUCCCGGUAGACGCUAGCUGUACGGACCCGUAGCAUCGGUACUACAGGUACGGACCCUAAACCUGACCCUAACACUAACCCUAACCUUAACCUUUGCUUACCUUUCAACAGUUUGCAGUGGUUAGCAGCUUCUUGACUCGCGAGACUCGCGAGACUCGCGAGACUCGCGUACGGGUCCGUAUCUGUCUGGCAAAUGGAAAGUGCCGUAUCCGUAGGCCACAGGCUACGGAUACGGGUCCGUAUCUGUAGACACUACCUAUUAAAAAGGUGAUGAAUGUAAUUAACUUCAGUUGUCAUGGUUUUAAAGCUCUGGCUGACUAUCAUUCUUCAUCAGUAAAUGAAUGGUUACCUGACUAUGAAAUGCAAAAGCAGUCUUGUGUAUGUUGUUGACUGUUCUCAUCAUCCAACCAAAUAAAGUCUGACACAAAAUGUUA